UCAGGAUACUUUUGUAGGUAGACACGUCAGAUAUUAUACAAAAUUAGCUUAAAUAUUCAAACACUGUAAAAUGAGAGGCAGAUAGGAUAUUGUCUCCAAAGAGGACAUAGUGAAAACGAUACUUUGAAAUGACAAAUAGUCAAAUAUGGGCAUAACUUUUUCAUAUUAGAGAAACCUUAUUGCCUAGACAAAUGUAGUAGUAGUGUGUAUUUUACUUCUAAGAAUUUAGUGACUAAAGUACAGUGCCUUCCCCAUCAUGUUCUCAUAAUAAAAGCUCAUAUUCUGUGAACAUUUUACACUUUUUUUGAGAUGGAGUCUCCCUCUGGCACCCAGGCUGGAGUGCAGUUGUGCCAUCUCGGCUCGCUGUAAGCUCUGCCUGCUGAGUUCAAGCAAUUCUCCUGCCUCAGCCUCCUGAGCAGCUGGGAUUACAGGCACCUGCCGCCACGCCCGGCUAAUUUUUGUAUUUUUAGUAGAGACAGGCUUUCACCAUGUUGGCCAGGCUGGUCUCAAACUCCUGACCUCAAGUAAUCUGCUGGCCUUGGCCUCUCAAAGUGUUGAGAUUACAGGCGUGAGCCACUGCGUCUGGCCUACACUUUUUAAUUCUCUGAUUUCAUGAAGAGUUCUUAACUCCCCCCAGCUAAUGCUAAAAAUGUGUCCUGGUUCUUACACAGGCACUGCUAGUAACGUGGCAACCUGAGCCUGUUCCCAGGCUCAAUUCACAGGAGCCCAUGUUCAGCGGUUAUUUAAUAGCUUUGAAAUGCCAUUCACCUGUGGCCCAUUUCAAGUUUCCCAUGAUUCUUAGGAAGACCCUGGCCUCCAUCUUGAAAACGGAAAAUAAAAACAGCAGACCUAUGAAGGUCGAAGGGGAAGAAAAGCUGUAUCGAUUGUUGAGAUCUGGCGACUUGUUUAAAUUUCAUCAGCCUCACUUCUAUGAACUCUCAGGUAAAGGAUAUUCACGUGAAAUUAAGAGACAGAGUAUUUCAUUGGGAUGAAAAGAGAGCCAUUAAAAGGAAUAAUAAAUUGUGAAAACUGGGCAUGACUGUCCAGCCAGCCAUGUACUUGUAAGUUCAGAGACUGUGCGUCAGCUGGUAAACACAGAGGAAAACCAGGCUUGCCUAAUUUGAUGACACCGUGGGUGAAGUUUUCAGGACUUUGCAUACAAUCUCAGAGACUCAUUGAUAUAAAGAUGUCAGCAGUAAUCAUGGUUGAUGCUUAGAAUUAAAUGUGAAACUUAGAAUGGGCACAAAAUGGAGAUCACAAUGGAGGUUUUCUGCUUCAAAUUUAGGAAUUAUAAUGAUACACAGAAUAUUCUCUUAAUGUGAAGAUUACCAUAAGACAUAAAAAUGUAAGCCAUUUGUUGUUGAAUCUUUCUACACAUACCUCAUGGUUGCUUUAUAGCAAUAGAUAAAAUGUUUAUAAAUGGUAACUUGAGGAUAAUUGAGAAAAUUGUGGAGUGUUUGUACCUUUUGUAAUUUAUCAAUCAGAGUACUCUGACAAUCCUCUCAGGCAUUCUAAAAUGAAUAUCUGUUAUAGAGGUAAAUGGUAAAAAAAAAAAAAAGAAUACAUCAUAUCUAUAGUGUCAGUUCUAAUAAUGGAGGGACUUUUAGUAUUUAUAUUCUAGGGAACAAAAUAUACUUUCUGUUAGUAAUUAUGCAGUGGGAUUAAAGAACAGAUACUGGUCAUUGUUUUAACUGAAUACAUUCCAUAGCAUAUGACUUAUGUCAAAUAAAAGAAAAUGAACUACAAGGGAGGUCUGUGUCCAAGGGACUAUUUUAGUUUCAUUAGAAUUCUGUCCUAUCACAGGAUAUGCAAUAUUCUGUGCUCCAGAUGAACAUAGAAACAAUAAGCAAAGCAGAUUUUUUUUCUUUCAUUCACUCCUAAAAGGUGAUGGCUUUUUACAAUUUUACAAAGUAAGGAUUUUAAAGUCCAUCUGAUUUGGAAUUUUCUCUUUUUUUCCUUCUUUCCUGCCUCCCUCUCACCCCAUUUUCCUUUCUCCCUCCCACUCUCUUUCGUUCCCCCUCUUGCUUGCUCUCUCAUGAUGGAGUCACAAAGGUUAUUUUUAUUUUAUUAGUAAAAUUAUUUUAAUCUUGAACCAUUACCAAGAAUAACAGACCAAAACAUCUCCCCUUCUAGUUAUUCAAUAUUCUUAGUAAUGCAAAGAAUAUAUAUAAUAUUAGCUUUUCCUUAGGAUGUUCCCAAAUUUAAGGUAAGACAUACUUUGGGAGGAAAGAAAAGCUGAGGCGGAAAAUUUGUCUGCUCUUGGUAGAGCUCCAAUCUCCCCCAAAGAUACUCCUUCACCCUCUCCCCAACCCCCCGCCCUGUGCCAUAAUUCCAGGAUGAACAUCUGGCUUGAUUUCUGUGUCAACUGCUUCUUUGCCAAGAAUUGAAGGUUAUAAAAAGAGGUUACAGACCAAAGUUACCAUGGCUGCCCACAGAGAUUUCCUAAAGAACCACUAGGGCCUACUAGGGAGUGUCAAAAAGGAAAACAGUUUCCACUCAUAAAUACCAUUUAAACAUCUUCAUGUAUUAGAGAAACUAGGUUUUAAUUCAUAUGUUUACACUUGUGGUCUUUAUACCUACCUCGCUGAAUUUAUUGUGGGGGUUAAUUGCAUAAAUGCAUAUAAGCUCUUAGAAGAGUGCAGGGAAAACCACUCUAUAUUCUCUUUCUUUUUUCCCUUCUCCUUCCCUCCCUUCCUUCCUUUAUUCUAAGUUCAGUGCUUCUCAAAUUUUAAUGUUCAUAAGACUGAUCUGGGAAUCUUGUUAAAAUGCAGAUAUUAAGCCAGUAGGUCUGGGGUGGGCUCCGAGAUGCUGGAUUUCUAACAAGCACCCAGGAGACCUUACCCAUGAAUGGCAACCAUUUAGGUAGUGACUUACCUGGUGGUUUAGUUACAACAGUGUCAUUAAGUCUGUAAGGUUUUAGUUAUGAUUGGGUUAUGGUUGUCUUUUACUAAUGGUCUAGAGGCCUAUGUACGAAAAGUUGCACAAUAUUAUUUUAUAUGUUUCUUGACCGUAAACUCAUUUGCAAUCUUAAGGAUUAUGUGAUGCAGCAUAGGAAUAACUGUAAAGUGUAAUCCAUGAUCUAAACUCUACCCCAUAACUCCUCCAACCCUCCAGGUGAUUCUUAUUAUCCUUUGGGAACCAUUGAGGUACUUGGGAGAAAUGGGUGCUCUGUGAGAGUAAAAGUUUGUUUUGUAAAUUCAAAAAACAUUUUCGGUUUUGGCAAAUUCAAAAACAUAUCUGGUUUUAUUAAAAGAAAGUGUUCACAAUGAAGCCUAAUUGGUACCUCUCUGAGAAACCUCUUAAGGAUUUUACUGCAGGGAAGGUAUUUAGCGAGAUCCAGGUGCUCUCCCUGAUCAGCAAUAGGUAGCUGCUGGAACAUUGAUUGCACUGUUAUUCAUCCUGGCACAAGCUGUGACCUGCCAACCAGUGUUGCCUGUACUGUUUAUUUCAGGUACUCGGUUGUGAAUAUUAUGCCCAAGCCUUUUCCCUCUACAAGAUUUUCAUCCAUUUUUCUUACUGUGUUGCACAUAUCCUUAGAUAUCAAUAGGAACUUAUCACUCUGAUUUAGCAUCUUUUCUUGCAUUGUACUUUGUCUUUCACUUGAUUCUCUGUAGCCCCAGCUUGACUGUACUGGUUGCUAAUAUAGGGACAACUUAAUUUGGAAAAGCAAACCAAAUAAAACUUGUGAAACAACAGCAUUUUUUGGUCUGAUCCUGCCUCUCUAAUGAUCAAUGACUAUAGAGAAAAUCCAGGUGGAAAUUAAGAUUUUAGAAUGAUUCCCUUCUGGAAAAACAAACAAGCAAACAAACUAGCAUUGCAAAGAUAAAGAGAAAAAAAUCCAGCAGCUCUACUACCUUUUUUCUGAGUGUCAUAUCCUUAAAUUUGCCUUAAGUAUAUUAUUCUAUGGCCAGUUCCCCUACCAGCUAAUUAUUUCAAAUGACCAUGAUGGAGAUACGGAUUUUCCUAUCACCUGUGUAUUUUUCACUAUGCUAACAGCUCACUUAUCCUGGGAUGUGGAUCAAAUAUAAUCAGAAGAUUGUCGUAAAUAAGGAAGCAGCUACAAUGCAUAUGUCUCGUGCAUGUAAUAGACUUACGUACCUCGUUCACUGACAGCAACCAUAGACCUUCACUCAUUAAGAGUUUAGUUUUCUAGCUUGGGUAUCUGGUUUCCUGGCUAACAUUAUCGUAGAAGCAACAAGUUGGAAGAGAAUAAAGAUUGCUUUUAGAAUAGCUUGCUUUAUGAGUAACAUGGCAGCUUCUGGUAAGGGAGAAGGUUUUUUGAAAAGCCUGCAAAAAGACACAAAAAUGGAAAAAGAAAUUGUAAUCUUAAGUAUUUGCUCUGGAGGCAAAUGGCUGGCUAUAUAUCGGGGCUAUAUUACAAUGCAGUUCAAUCAUUAAUGGCCAUAAUAGUGUUCUAGAAUAAUUAAGACAGGCUAAACUUGUCCAUGAUUUAUUCCUAUUUUGGGAACUAGGACAUUUACUAUAUAGUCUUAAAACACUUCUAUACAAAUUGUUUUUAAAAUGUGAUAGAGGGUUUAUUUUUAAAGAAAU
Molecule: long non-coding RNA, 4551 nt
Organism: Pan troglodytes (chimpanzee)
Lineage: Eukaryota; Metazoa; Chordata; Mammalia; Primates; Hominidae
Source: Ensembl